Molecule: long non-coding RNA, 119 nt
Organism: Etheostoma cragini (Arkansas darter)
Lineage: Eukaryota; Metazoa; Chordata; Actinopteri; Perciformes; Percidae
Exons: 3
Source: RefSeq, a predicted model, not a curated record
CAGCCCCUCCAGACCAGAGGUCUCUCUUCUUCUCUCGGUCUUUUCCACUGAUAGCAGUGUGUUGGCUGAUACUGUUAGUCAUCAUGGGCCUUCGUAUCUACUUUACUUCUGUCAUUUCU